UACGAAGGGGGCGAGCGUUGUUCGGAAUUACUGGGCGUAAAGGGCGCGCAGGCGGCCUUAGAAGUCAGAUGUGAAAGCCCCGGGCUCAACCUGGGAAUGGCAUUUGAUACUCUGAGGCUGGAGUACGGGAGAGGAGAGUGGAAUUCCCAGUGUAGAGGUGAAAUUCGUAGAUAUUGGGAAGAACACCGGUGGCGAAGGCGGCUCUCUGGACCGUAACUGACGCUGAGGCGCGAAAGCGUGGGGAGCAAACGGG
Molecule: ribosomal RNA, 253 nt
Filed under: uncultured bacterium
Lineage: Bacteria
Description: partial 16S ribosomal RNA
Rfam family: Bacterial small subunit ribosomal RNA
Source: RNAcentral